Molecule: ribosomal RNA, 253 nt
Filed under: uncultured bacterium
Lineage: Bacteria
Description: partial 16S ribosomal RNA
Rfam family: Bacterial small subunit ribosomal RNA
Source: RNAcentral
UACGUAGGGUGCAAGCGUUAAUCGGAAUUACUGGGCGUAAAGCGUGCGCAGGCGGUUAUGCAAGACAGAGGUGAAAUCCCCGGGCUCAACCUGGGAACUGCCUUUGUGACUGCAUAGCUAGAGUACGGCAGAGGGGGACGGAAUUCCGCGUGUAGCAGUGAAAUGCGUAGAUAUGCGGAGGAACACCGAUGGCGAAGGCAAUCCCCUGGGCCUGUACUGACGCUCAUGCACGAAAGCGUGGGGAGCAAACAGG